GUAAGUUUUUCUAUUUGUUCAGCAUCACUCUACUCUCUUUUCUAUUGUAUUAACUUAAUGCUUAAAAAAAAAAAAAAGGACUAACCUACUGUUCUUCACAACUGAAUUCCAUUUAAAAAUCAACGUAUCUUGCCAUUCAUAUACCUCUUCUACAAGUAGAACCAUAAACCGUCUCACCAGAAAACAAAUUUAGGCCUAGAAUAAAGACAAGAACCCAACCUUUCCCUUCACUUAUGUAUUGAAAUCAUACUGUAAGAAAUGAGGAAAUAAUAUAUAUAAAACAGGAAUAAUUUCAUUGGUCAUCAAGCAAUCUGACUUAACCAUUAUUGGUUUGACAGAUACUGAUGACCAAUAUGGAAGAAGAGACUCAGGCUGGUGCUUGCAGAAGAUAAAAGAGAAAGCCAUUGGUUAACAAGACAGUAGAGUACUUGCCUAAUCAUAGUUAUACAGUAAAACACUUCUGUACUGUGACUUUAAAGGAUUAAAACAGGAGCUUAACAAAGGAAUCUGAGAAGUACAGUUAGUGUUGUACAAGGAGCUGCAAUUAAGCAGGAUGUUUUGGUAACUGUCAAACUAAAUAUAUUUUAUCUCGAGGAUUCCACAAAAUGUGACCUUUGAAGCUUCCCAUUACCAUUCAAACAUUUAGCAGGAUCUCUGCCUUAUCCAGUGACACAGGUGGUUACACCCGUGCUAGUGGAUGCAAGAUUCAAUGUCUGUCUUCAUUCUUCCAGACUUCUUGUUUCUGUCUGUUCCAUGGUUCUUCUUCAAAUUAACUCUCAUCCUCAAUGGGAUCAACGCUUCUCAGGAAGAGCUUCCACAAGUGCAAGAUCACAUUGAAAUGGAAGAAGGGUGUCUCUUGUUCCCAGGUUUCAUCCAGUUUGGUAAAAUUGCUGGAUCUACUCCUACUGCAAGCAGACAAAGUUAUCCAUUUUCCUUCUCCUUCAGUCAUACUGUCAUAUACCUGCAUGUAAGUUAUGUCACUGUACCUUGUCUAGACUUAUUAGUUAAAUAAAUAAAUAAAUAAAAUGGUUAUGGGUAAGGUGAAUGGUAA
Molecule: long non-coding RNA, 1051 nt
Filed under: Anas platyrhynchos platyrhynchos (common mallard)
Lineage: Eukaryota; Metazoa; Chordata; Aves; Anseriformes; Anatidae
Description: lncRNA (ENSAPLG00000030842.1)
Source: RNAcentral